RNAcentral lists this ribosomal RNA (395 nucleotides) under uncultured bacterium. Its description in RNAcentral is "partial 16S ribosomal RNA". It matches the Rfam family "Bacterial small subunit ribosomal RNA", at positions 338 to 730 of the family's 1533-position model. The record is from RNAcentral.
CCUACGGGUGGCAGCAGUGAGGAAUAUUGGUCAAUGGGCGCGAGCCUGAACCAGCCAAGUAGCGUGAAGGAUGACUGCCCUACGGGUUGUAAACUUCUUUUAUAAAGGAAUAAAGCGAGGCACGUGUGCCUCUUUGUAUGUACUUUAUGAAUAAGGAUCGGCUAACUCCGUGCCAGCAGCCGCGGUAAUACGGAGGAUUCGAGCGUUAUCCGGAUUUAUUGGGUUUAAAGGGAGCGUAGAUGGGAUGUGAAGUCAGUGGUUAAAGUUGGGGGCUCAACCCUCGAAUUGCAGUUGAUACUGGCUGCCUUGAGUACGGGUGAGGUAGGCGGAAUUCGUGGUGUAGCGGUGAAAUGCUUAGAUAUCACGAAGAACUCCGAUUGCGAAGGCAGCCUACU